This is a long non-coding RNA of Dermochelys coriacea (leatherback sea turtle), 562 nucleotides long. RefSeq lists it as uncharacterized. The transcript has 2 exons. The record is from RefSeq and is a predicted model, not a curated record. Lineage: Eukaryota; Metazoa; Chordata; Testudines; Dermochelyidae.
AUUCACUCAGCUUCACGCCUAUCUCUGGUGUUCUUGCUGGCAUUCAAGGGUUCCCUGCAUUACAGAAAAAUGUGUUCCCGUGAGCCCCGAGGUUGUCAUGACAGUGGCAGUUCCUCCUGCCAUGAUACCGGAAGCUCCUCCUGCCACGACACCGGAAGCUCCUCCUGCCAUGGCAGCGGGGGAGGGACAUGCCAUGAUGUGAAACCUCUGCCUCAGUGCCCAACCCCUGAUCCUUGCCAAACCACCACCAUCCCUUGUCAGCAGCAGACCAAGCAGCCCUGCCAGUGGCCACCGCAGAAGCACCAGAAGUAAAGGAGGACAAGAAAAAAGAAGUCCGUCUCAGAAGCUGAGCUUGCUUCUCGCUCUCAUUGAGCUGGAAAAGCUUUGCCACCUUACCUCUUUCAUAAAUUGCACAUCCUCUCUCCUCCGAUGGGUACUGUAGCAACCCAGGGUGUUAGUAACAACCUCUAAGAAAUGUGGUUUGUUCCUGCAUGCUCAGAUAAUUUAAUCCUGCCUCUGUCUCUGGUCAGAAAUGCCAGACAUUAAAUUUUACAAUCCGUGA